CCUACGGGAGGCAGCAGUGAGGGAUACGGGGGGUGCAAGCGUUGUUCGGAAUUAUUGGGCGUAAAGAGCGUGUAGGCGGCAGGAUGUGUCAGAUGUGAAAGCCCUGGGCUUAACCCAGGAAGUGCAUUUGAAACUAUCCAGCUUGAGUAGGGGAGAGGGAAGUGGAAUUCCUGGUGUAGAGGUGAAAUUCGUAGAUAUCAGGAGGAACACCGGUGGCGAAGGCGACUUCCUGGCCCUAUACUGACGCUGAGACGCGAGAGCGUGGGUAGCAAACAGGAUUAGAUACCCUGGUAGUCCACGCCGUAAACGAUGUUCACUAGGUGUUGGGGGUAUUGACCCCCUCAGUGCCGGAGCUAACGCGUUAAGUGAACCGCCUGGGGAGUACGGUCGCAAGACUAAAACUCAAAGGAAUUGACGGGGGCCCGCACAAGCGGUGGAGCAUGUGGUUUAAUUCGAUGCAACGCGAAGAACCUUACCUGGGCUUGACAUCCACGGAAUCUCCUGGAAACAGGGGAGUGCCCUUCGGGGAGCUAUGAG
RNAcentral lists this ribosomal RNA (537 nucleotides) under uncultured bacterium. RNAcentral describes it as "bacterial SSU rRNA". It matches the Rfam family "Bacterial small subunit ribosomal RNA", at positions 500 to 1033 of the family's 1533-position model. The record is from RNAcentral.